AAAAAAAAGAUUUUACUGGGCUUAUGCAUGAUAAUUUGAUUCAGAAUUAUUUAAAAGUAAUUGAUUGUGCCUUUUAUUACACCUUGAGUAAAUGAGUGACAUUGUGAUUGGUUUAAAUUAACACGUGGUGACCCCUAUGGAUCCAUAUGGGGUCAGUAGAUUUCAUAGAGGAUUCACGAUGACACUCCUACUAUUUUUAUACAACACUUGGAAGGAAAGUCCAUUGCGAUAAAUUCUGCAUGCAGUUAACGACUGACCCCUUAAGGACCCAUAGAGGUAAAGUAAAAAUGGAAUUUAUCAAACUCUUUGGAUCCAUAUGGGGUCAGUAGCAAGCCAUAUAACUUUAAUUAUAAAAUCAAUGGCACAGAUGUUAUUAGCCCAUUGCAAAAGAAUGUUUAAGCACACCUUGACAGAGAGUUGAAAUUGAAACUAAAUAAGAAUUAAUUUGGCAAUCAAAGUAAAGGGUGUGCUUUUACUUUUUAAAAUACUUGACCACCCA
Molecule: long non-coding RNA, 499 nt
Filed under: Mytilus galloprovincialis (Mediterranean mussel)
Lineage: Eukaryota; Metazoa; Mollusca; Bivalvia; Mytilida; Mytilidae
Source: RNAcentral